This 497-nucleotide ribosomal RNA is filed under the name uncultured bacterium. RNAcentral's name for it is "partial 16S ribosomal RNA". It matches the Rfam family "Bacterial small subunit ribosomal RNA", at positions 28 to 507 of the family's 1533-position model. The record is from RNAcentral.
GACGAACGCUGGCGGCGUGCCUAAUACAUGCAAGUAGAACGCUGAAGAGAGGAGCUUACUCUUCUUGGAUGAGUUGCGAACGGGUGAGUAACGCGUAGGUAACCUGCCUUGUAGCGGGGGAUAACUAUUGGAAACGAUAGCUAAUACCGCAUAACAAUGGAUGACACAUGUCAUUUAUUUGAAAGGGGCAAUUGCUCCACUACAAGAUGGACCUGCGUUGUAUUAGCUAGUAGGUGAGGUAAUGGCUCACCUAGGCGACGAUACAUAGCCGACCUGAGAGGGUGAUCGGCCACACUGGGACUGAGGCACGGCCCAGACUCCUACGGGAGGCAGCAGUAGGGAAUCUUCGGCAAUGGGGGCAACCCUGACCGAGCAACGCCGCGUGAGUGAAGAAGGUUUUCGGAUCGUAAAGCUCUGUUGUAAGUCAAGAACAGGUGUGAGAGUGGAAAGUUCACACUGUGACGGUAGCUUACCAGAAAGGGACGGCUAACUACGUG